AUUGAACGCUGGCGGCAUGCCUUACACAUGCAAGUCGAACGGCAGCGGGGGAGAAGCUUGCUUUUCCUGCCGGCGAGUGGCGAACGGGUGAGUAAUACAUCGGAACGUGCCCUGUAGUGGGGGAUAACUAGUCGAAAGAUUAGCUAAUACCGCAUACGACCUGAGGGUGAAAGUGGGGGACCGCAAGGCCUCAUGCUAUAGGAGCGGCCGAUGUCUGAUUAGCUAGUUGGUGGGGUAAAGGCCUACCAAGGCGACGAUCAGUAGCUGGUCUGAGAGGACGGUCAGCCACACUGGGACUGAGACACGGCCCAGACUCCUACGGGAGGCAGCAGUUGGGAAUUUUGGACAAUGGGCGAAAGCCUGAUCCAGCAAUGCCGCGUGUGUGAAGAAGGCCUUCGGGUUGUAAAGCACUUUUGUCCGGAAAGAAAUGGCUCUGGUUAAUACCUGGGGUCGAUGACGGUACCGGAAGAAUAAGGACCGGCUAACUACGUGCCAGCCGCCGCAGUAA
This 508-nucleotide ribosomal RNA is filed under the name uncultured bacterium. Its description in RNAcentral is "partial 16S ribosomal RNA". It matches the Rfam family "Bacterial small subunit ribosomal RNA", at positions 30 to 523 of the family's 1533-position model. The record is from RNAcentral.